RNAcentral lists this long non-coding RNA (1198 nucleotides) under Homo sapiens (human). RNAcentral describes it as "HSALNT0383593". Lineage: Eukaryota; Metazoa; Chordata; Mammalia; Primates; Hominidae. The record is from RNAcentral.
CCAUUAACGGAGUUUGUGGAAACAACCAGGAGCUGUUUGAAAAUGCUAGGUGGUAGAAUUUAAUUGGAGUAGCAACUGUUCAAAAUUAAGAUUAAAAGGACCAGUCAGUCAACGUGGAUUUCGUGACACCUUAAAAAUAACGUUUCAGGUUUGAUUAAUGCUGCAAGAAGUUUGCACAUUUCUCUCCUUUGCUGAUAGGGCCUGCGUGCUGAUAGUUGAUUCAGUGAAUAUAUGUAGCAGUGAUAGCUCAUGGGCUCCAGAGGUCAGAUAUCUUAUUCUCUAGGCUGAAACCCUUGUUGCUUUAAGGAAACAGGAUUUUAAUAGGAAUCACAUGCAGAUUGACUACAGGGAGCCAAGCGGUAGUGGAAGAAGCAAAGUUGGCGGUUUUGGAGACGGACGUCUAUCUAUCCACAGUGGGACAAAAAUGAAGGUUAUUGAAAAGAAUCAUGCUUGGUGGAAGAAGUAAUUACAUUUUUUUUUCAAAUCUCAGAGGAAUAAUGCUUUUAUAUUUCCUGCGAUGACCCAAUUUGCACUACGAUAUGCUCCCUUAAAUGUGAUUUAAACAGAAGAGAGGACCACCCCGCCAACCAAAUGUCCAGGUCCUAUUCCAUGGAACCUAUGAACAGGUUGUCCCACAUUGCAAAAGGGACUUCACAGAUGUCGAAGAGCUAGAGAAGAUGCGAUAAUGGAAGCGGAAUCAAAGACAGAUUUGAAGAUGCUGCUGUCUUUGGAGAGAAUGGCCAGGAGGCAAGGAACACAAGCAGCCCCUAGAAGUUGGAAAAGAAACAGGAGUGAUAAGGGGGAACUGAGGACUAAAUUUUUCUAAAGGUCUUCCUAAGGUUCCUGGAAGAAGUCACGUUUAUAAGCCAGAACUUACAUAUCUUUCUGCUGUCCCAAAAUUUUUAAACAAAACUACUCUUCCUUAACCAACUGCAAAUCAGAAAAUCUUGGAAUCUACUUAUGACCUGUAAGCCUCCGCUUCAAGAUACCCCACCUUUUUAGACCAAAGCAAUGACUAACCUCCAUGUAUUGAGGUAUGAUUUUGCCUGUAACUUCUGCCUUCUUGAAAGUUACCCAUACCUUUAAAGACCCUUGCUUGCAAGCCACUGAGAAGAUGGGUCUAAAGUGUGCAUUGCCCCAUUCUCCUUGCCUGGUUCCCUGCAAAUAAAUGCCCUGCUUUCUGCAGUGGCAAACCUCA